Molecule: long non-coding RNA, 673 nt
Filed under: Actinidia chinensis (golden kiwifruit)
Lineage: Eukaryota; Viridiplantae; Streptophyta; Magnoliopsida; Ericales; Actinidiaceae
Description: long non-coding RNA (ACHI_LNC007834)
Source: RNAcentral
AAAUUCAACCAACCCAAGUUUUAUAACUUUGAUUUACAACUUUUAAAAAUAAUUUAACCCAGAAUUUUCCCUUAUGCUCUGUUUGGUAGCUAUGAAAGAAAGAGGAAAGAGAAAAUACAAAAAAACAAGAAUUGUUUUUCUUCUCUUUUCUUUCAUUUUUUACGCUAUCAAGUAUGAAUGGCAAUGGGGCGGGCCAAGCCGGAUUUUACACAUCCCGUCCCCAAUCCCCCAAUAAUUAAUAUGCAUCCUUGUCUUGCUCUUAUUCCCGUCGGAUUUAGUUUCGGUCUACUAUACGUGGAUUAAAAUGGGGAUCUGAUUUUUCAGGAAUUUCUCUGCUCACUUUCCCUUCCCUUUUCCACUAGUUCCAAAUACGUAAAAAAAAAAAUGCUUGCAAAGGAUGCGAGGCAGGGAGAUUAUUACCGUCUUAUAUAAAAUGCAGGGUCGGAGGAUGCGUGGUGGACACAUUAUGACCGCCGCCCUAUAUAAAAUGCACGGUCGGAGGAUGCAAGACGGGGAGAUUAUUACCGUCCUGCUCCGAAACUAGUUGGAAUAUAAUUUUUUUUAACCAAAACCCGCUCUUCUCGGGAAAAAAAGUAAAGAAAAAAAAGAAAACCCGCUCUUCUCGGGAGGAUGUUGGGUAAUUUGCCAUGACUACUACCAAGCACAAUGACGA